UAUGUUCUGCAUUCUUUAUCCUUUUGGUUACUUUUUUACUGCAUUUUUAUUUUAUUUCACUUUUUUUUUUUUUUUUUUUUAGAUAAUAUUAAUUUAGUGCGCUGUGACAUAAUAAACCAUGCUAAUAAUAACCAAAACAUAAAUGAAAACGAAAAUAACAAACAAUCAGAUAUAGAAGAUGGGAAUAAGGAGAAAGCGGAUAUUAUAGAUAAAAAUAAGUCCAAAGAAAAUGAGCCCCAAACAUGUGAGCAGAACACAAACAAACAUAAUCUGAAAGAUUUACACUCAACAUAUAACAUACCUGAAAAAAAAAAUAAUGAAACAGAAUAUGCUGAGAAGUAUGAAAAUAAUUACAAAUCUGACAGUACAUCUGUAAGACAAGAAGGAGAAUCAAAUAAUAAUAAGACGGAGGAAGAAAAUAAAAAAAAAAAUGAAGAAAUAAAAAGAAACCAUGAAGAAGAACACCUAAAUACUUAUCAUAAUAAUGAACAAAAAAAUGAUAUUAAUGUUAAAACGAAUUUAAAAAACGAAAGCGAUCUUGAUGAAAAAGACAACUCCAAAAAAAAUAGUUACCAACAGGAUGUAGAAAAAACGGUUGAUUCAAGCAAAUCUAACCAGCCAAACAAGUCAAGUGAAUCAAAAGAGUCAAGUAGUCUAAGUGGGGUAAAGGUAUCUAAUAACGUUGAAGAAAUUAAACAAAAUGAAAAAAUAAAUAAAACAGAAGAUAAACAAUACAAUUAUAAUAAUAACAAAUAUGAUAACCAUUUAAAUGGUGAUAGUGACAAUUUUACAGCUAGCCAACAAUUUGAAUCGAAGGAUAAAGAAAAACCAACCAAAAAAAUUAAGUCCAAUGAUGAACUGCUGGGUGAUGAGUUUAAAAAAGAUGACGAAGAGGAAGAAAAUAUAAAUGAUAUCCAAAUGCUAAAAAAUAAAAAAAAUAAAAGUGGAUUAAACAGGGAUGAACAAGGGAUUAACAAAAAACACGAAGAGGAAGAAAAUGUUAUGGGUGAAGACGAUUUUGAUAGCGAGUUGGAAUAUGAGAGUGGAGAACAGGGAGAAGGAGAAGGAGAAGAAGGAGAAGAAGGAGAGGAAGGAGAGGAAGGAGAGGAAGAAGAAGAAGGAGAAACAAAAAAAGAAAAAGAUUUAAAAGUCGAACAAAAAACAGAAGGUGAAACAGGUGGAAAAGGUGAAACAGGUGGAAAAGGUGAAACANNNNNNNNNNGUGGAAAAGGUGAAACAGGUGGAAAAGGUGAAACAGGUGGAAAAGGUAAAACAGGUGGAAAAGGUAAAACAGGUGGAAAAGACGAAAAUGGCAAAAAAGACGAAAAUGGCAAAAAAGACGAAAAUGGCAAAAAAGACGAAAAUGGCAAAAAAGACGAAAAAAGCAAAAAAGACGAAAAAGACGAAAAAGAACAAAGAAAUGAUGGAAUAAACAAACUAGAUAAAAAGAUAGAUUUAAUAAAAACAAAGACAAAUAGUGAUAAAAAUCAUAAAUUGGAUAAUAAUCAUGUAGAAGAAAACAAAGUAUUAAAUACUGGAAAAAACAUCACAAAACAUUUUCAAAAAGAUGAACAAAAAAAAGAGAAAGAAAUAAGUAAAGAACAAACAAAAAAUAAAGAAAAAGAAAGUUCGUCUCAACCAGCUAAUUUUAAUAACCAUCAAGUAUAA
Piliocolobus tephrosceles (Ugandan red Colobus) is the source of this 1668-nucleotide long non-coding RNA. The record is from Ensembl. NCBI's taxonomy places the organism in Eukaryota, Metazoa, Chordata, Mammalia, Primates, Cercopithecidae.